Molecule: ribosomal RNA, 492 nt
Filed under: uncultured bacterium
Lineage: Bacteria
Description: partial 16S ribosomal RNA
Rfam family: Bacterial small subunit ribosomal RNA
Source: RNAcentral
AGUGAACGCUGGCGGUAGGCCUAACACAUGCAAGUCGAACGGCAGCACAGUAAGAGCUUGCUCUUACGGGUGGCGAGUGGCGGACGGGUGAGGAAUACAUCGGAAUCUACUUUUUCGUUGGGGAUAACGUAGGGAAACUUACGCUAAUACCGCAUACGACCUACGGGUGAAAGCAGGGGAUCUUCGGACCUUGCGCGAUUGAAUGGGCCGAUGUCGGAUUAGCUAGUUGGCGGGGUAAAGGCCCACCAAGGCGACGAUCCGUAGCUGGUCUGAGAGGAUGAUCAGCCACACUGGAACUGAGACACGGUCCAGACUCCUACGGGAGGAAGCAGUGGGGAAUAUUGGACAAUGGGCGCAAGCCUGAUCCAGCCAUACCGCGUGGGUGAAGAAGGCCUUAGGGUUGUAAAGCCAUUUUGUUGGGAAAGAAAAGCAGCAGGUUAAUACCCCGCUGUUCUGACGGUACCCAAAGAAUAAGCGCCGGCUAACUUCGUG